GAAAUGCGAUAACUAAUGUGAAUUGCAGAAUUCAGUGAAUCAUCGAAUCUUUGAACGCACCUUGCGCUCCUUGGUAUUCCGAGGAGCAUGCCUGUUUGAGUGUCAUGAAAUUCUCAACCUUUCUAGCUUUUUGUGAGCUUUAGUAAGGCUUGGAUUAUGGAGGCUGCUGGAUCUUUAUAGAUUCGGCUCCUCUGAAAUAUAUUAGCUCGACCUUUGCUGAUGUGUCUUUGGUAUGAUAAUUUAUCUAUACUAUAGAUAUUUGGCUCCUCCACUAGAGGAAGGUUGGCUUCUAAUCGUCUUUGGACAAUAUUUGACCAUUUUGACCUCAAAUCAGGUAGGACUACCCGCUGAACUUAA
RNAcentral lists this ribosomal RNA (357 nucleotides) under Entoloma aff. kujuense 181-194. Its description in RNAcentral is "eukaryotic LSU rRNA". The stretch from base 1 to 105 matches the Rfam family "5.8S ribosomal RNA", at positions 50 to 154 of the family's 154-position model. Lineage: Eukaryota; Fungi; Basidiomycota; Agaricomycetes; Agaricales; Entolomataceae. The record is from RNAcentral.